CAGUCGCCGCGGAAUACGAAGGGUGCAAGCGUUAAUCGGAAUUACUGGGCGUAAAGCGUGCGUAGGCGGUUUGUUAAGUCUGCUGUGAAAUCCCCGGGCUCAACCUGGGAAUGGCAGUGGAUACUGGCAAGCUAGAGUGUGUCAGAGGAUGGUGGAAUUCCCGGUGUAGCGGUGAAAUGCGUAGAGAUCGGGAGGAACAUCAGUGGCGAAGGCGGCCAUCUGGGACAACACUGACGCUGAGGCACGAAAGCGUGGGGAGCAAACAGGAUUAGAUACCCGAGUAGUCCCUGUCUCUUAUACA
Molecule: ribosomal RNA, 301 nt
Filed under: uncultured bacterium
Lineage: Bacteria
Description: partial 16S ribosomal RNA
Rfam family: Bacterial small subunit ribosomal RNA
Source: RNAcentral